Molecule: long non-coding RNA, 1556 nt
Organism: Eucalyptus grandis
Lineage: Eukaryota; Viridiplantae; Streptophyta; Magnoliopsida; Myrtales; Myrtaceae
Exons: 3
Source: RefSeq, a predicted model, not a curated record
CGCGCCUCUCACUCACUCUACCCUCCCUCUCUCUCUCUCCACCCUCCCUCUUUCCGACCGGCGAAGCACCGCGAGCAACCGACGAACCAGGUGGAUACCGGCGAGAGGACUGCGAGCAACCGACCGGCGUGCGACCUCCCUCUUUCCGACCGGCGAACCACCGCACCGUCCCUCCGGCUCUGGAUCUGGCCCCGACUCGUCCGUCCCCUGCUCUUUCUCUCCCCUUGCGUCUCUGUCUGUCCUCCUCUCUUCGCGGCGAAGAACCAGCGCGUGACUAAUGAACCACCGCGCCCCCCCUUCGGCUCGAGUUCCCGCACUGGCUUGUCCGGUACGCUGGAACGUUCGCGCCCGACGCCUCACACCCACCAACUGACCACUUCUCUGUCUUGUGGUUCUGGUGAGGUAAUACAGAUCAUGGGCUUAGUAAAGAAUGCAAUUUGCUGAGCAGUGACAGUGAGCACCAGUUUAGCACCAGAAAUGACAUGGGGGCUGUAGAAAGCAAGGUUGGCCCUUUUGAGAUUGACCAUUUUGGCGAUUUCCAAUUAGAUGUGUAACCCCUGUCAACUUUGGCACACGCCUCCCAUCAAGGUACACGUUCUCUACAGCAUUCACCACCGAGGCGUCAAGCCGUCGGCCCCUGCCCCCAUGAUAAGCACACGAGAUCGUUGGUGAUGGUGAAUUCUCUGCGUCGAUCUUUUGCUAUUCUAUCAGCCCGGGGGAGCUGCACCAUUGUCGUCGACAGACAAUCCAAUACGUCAGAGGUGGAGGAUCUUGAUGCCGGAUGGGUCUCAUGCCAUUUAUCCCAAACCCAGAGCUUUGAACCACUUUGAGAUACAGGAUAUGGUCGACCAUUAUCGCCAGGUUGCCAUAAAUGCCAUUCGAGCCGGAAAGGGAGUCCAGGAAAUGGCAUCACUUCGCAGAGUCUUCCCGACGUUGAUUUUGGCAUCUGUCCUCAGCCAAAUUCUCACUGCAACAGCCUACCUUUCGUGUUUUCUAUGGAAUGCAAGGAGACAACCUGCCUAGUCUGGCUGAGGUGAUACAGCUCUACUAGAGUCACAAUAUUGGGACAAUGUAGCUCUACGAUCCCAACCCCAAAGCACUCUGAGCUCUAGUGAACUCCGGCAUCAGCGUGAUCGUUGGCACCAAAAAUGAAGACCUACACAACUUGGCAUCAAGUGUGGAAGCCACAAGUCAUGGAUCGACGCUCAACGCUACCAAGGUGUGAAGCCUACUUUUUGUCUAUGUAAAUGACAGAAGUUGCAGACGGAAGGGGACAGUUUCUAAGUUAGAGGAUUUCACCGUUCAUUUGUUCUUUCAUAUUUUGACUCAAGAAUAGUUAAACCACAAUUCCUGUGGCUGUGGUUUGUCAUUCAUGUAAAAAGUCGAGACACAGGACAUUAGUAAUACUAUGCUCCUAUUGCCUCAACUUUUCUCACGUUGAAGGUCGCAUGAAUUUGGCUUUUUUAGGUCUUCAUUUGCUUGUAUUGGGAAUAAAGGAAACUUCCUACUUCCGGGACAUGAAUGUAAAAUCCCUUGCAGCCUCUGCGCAUCUUUCU